CUGGCUCAGGACGAACGCUGGCGGCGUGCUUAACACAUGCAAGUCGAACGAGGAUUAUUGAGCGGAAGGCUUCGGCCGGAAGGUUGAUAAUUCGAGUGGCGGACGGGUGAGUAACGCGUGAACAAUCUGUCCCAGACAGGGGGAUAACACUUGGAAACAGGUGCUAAUACCGCAUAAGACCACGGUAUCGCAUGGUACAGGGGUAAAAGGAGCAAUCCGGUUUGGGGUGAGUUCGCGUCCGAUUAGCCAGUUGGGGGGUAACGGCCCACCAAAGCGACGAUCGGUAGCCGACCUGAGAGGGUGAUCGGCCACAUUGGAACUGAGAGACGGUCCAAACUCCUACGGGAGGCAGCAGUGGGGAAUAUUGGGCAAUGGGCGAAAAAGCCUGACCCAGCAACGCCGCGUGAGUGAAGAAGGCCCUCGGGUUGUAAAGCUCUGUUAUAGGGGACGAAGGAAGUGACGGUACCCUAUAAGGAAGCCCCGGCUAACUACGUGCCAGCCGCGGC
RNAcentral lists this ribosomal RNA (506 nucleotides) under uncultured bacterium. Its description in RNAcentral is "bacterial SSU rRNA". It matches the Rfam family "Bacterial small subunit ribosomal RNA", at positions 19 to 518 of the family's 1533-position model. The record is from RNAcentral.